UACGGAAGGUCCGGGCGUUAUCCGGAUUUAUUGGGUUUAAAGGGAGCGUAGGCCGGAGAUUAAGCGUGUUGUGAAAUGUAGGAGCUCAACUUCUGCACUGCAGCGCGAACUGGUUUCCUUGAGUACGUAGGAAGUUGGCGGAAUUCGUGGUGCAGCGGUGAAAUGCUUAGAUAUCACGCAGAACCCCGAUUGCGAAGGCAGCAUACCGGUGCUCAACUGACGUUCAUGCUCGAAAGUGUGGGUAUCAAACAGG
This 253-nucleotide ribosomal RNA is filed under the name uncultured bacterium. RNAcentral's name for it is "partial 16S ribosomal RNA". It matches the Rfam family "Bacterial small subunit ribosomal RNA", at positions 524 to 776 of the family's 1533-position model. The record is from RNAcentral.